Molecule: long non-coding RNA, 617 nt
Organism: Astatotilapia calliptera (eastern happy)
Lineage: Eukaryota; Metazoa; Chordata; Actinopteri; Cichliformes; Cichlidae
Source: Ensembl
UAAGAAACAGCACCAGAUCACUACAGAAGCUUUGUGUGAGAAGUCGUGCGUCUAAUAGCUGGCUGGUAAACAAUCGGCAGCAUCUUCAACAGGUUCCGCUUUCACCAGGGAUCUACGACAGCUGGUUAACAACAGAGGGGACUCGAUACGAGCCAGAGACAACAAGACUGUUGGUCUGUGUAAAGGUGCCUGAUAACGUGAAGGAGCCAAGGUGGUCGGAGACUUUGCUGCAAAAAAAAUCAUGCUGACUGCUUACCUGCUGGCAAUCUUCUUCAUCUGCGCAGGUAAGUGUAGUCAAUCACACAAUCAUUGCAGACCAAAAAUGAGAACUUAAAAGGUAUAUUUGGGUUAGAGGAAUCUUUUUUUUUUAAAGUUUUUAUAGCUAAAUGUAUCAAGACAGACAAAACAGCAGUUAUUCACAACAGGAAAAUGGGAGCGUUUCCAGGUUUUUUUUUUAAAUGGGCCGGCAAAGGAGAACCUCGGGUGGCUGGGUUGGGGGUGGAGAUGUCUCACAGGGACAAAUAAAAGCAUCUGGAAGUUCAAUGAGUUCUAAUAAUGUUAAUAUGCUCCACAAACAUGCAUUAGAUGUAGCUGCUUGUAGCAAUGUUGGAGUCACA